RNAcentral lists this ribosomal RNA (497 nucleotides) under uncultured bacterium. Its description in RNAcentral is "partial 16S ribosomal RNA". It matches the Rfam family "Bacterial small subunit ribosomal RNA", at positions 28 to 507 of the family's 1533-position model. The record is from RNAcentral.
GAUGAACGCUGGCGGCGUGCCUAAUACAUGCAAGUCGAGCGAACAGACGAGGAGCUUGCUCCUCUGACGUUAGCGGCGGACGGGUGAGUAACACGUGGAUAACCUACCUAUAAGACUGGGAUAACUUCGGGAAACCGGAGCUAAUACCGGAUAAUAUAUUGAACCGCAUGGUUCAAUAGUGAAAGACGGUUUUGCUGUCACUUAUAGAUGGAUCCGCGCCGCAUUAGCUAGUUGGUAAGGUAACGGCUUACCAAGGCAACGAUGCGUAGCCGACCUGAGAGGGUGAUCGGCCACACUGGAACUGAGACACGGUCCAGACUCCUACGGGAGGCAGCAGUAGGGAAUCUUCCGCAAUGGGCGAAAGCUUGACGGAGCAACGCCGCGUGAGUGAUGAAGGUCUUCGGAUCGUAAAACUCUGUUAUUAGGGAAGAACAAAAGUGUAAGUAACUAUGCACGUCUUGACGGUACCUAAUCAGAAAGCCACGGCUAACUACGUG